GCGCGAGUAGCUCAGCUGGAUAGAGCGUUGCCCUCCGAAGGCAAAGGUCGUGGGUUCGACUCCCUCCUCGCGCA
Molecule: transfer RNA, 74 nt
Filed under: bacterium
Lineage: Bacteria
Also listed under: 1 other name
Description: tRNA-Arg
Rfam family: tRNA
About the family: Transfer RNA (tRNA) molecules are approximately 80 nucleotides in length. Their secondary structure includes four short double-helical elements and three loops (D, anti-codon, and T loops).
Source: RNAcentral